CAAUAGCGUAUAUUAAAGUUGUUGCGGUUAAAAAGCUCGUAGUUGGACUUCUGCAGGGGACGACCGGUCUACCCACUGGGUUAGCAUCUGGCUCGGCUUUUGCAUUUUUCAGGCACAGGCUGCUGCACUUGAUUGUGUGGUGCUUACGUCUGAACCUUUACCUUGAAUAAAACAGAGUGUUCAAAGCAGGCUUUCGCCUGAAUGUAUCAGCAUGGAAGUAAUGGUUAAUAGGAAUAGUUGGGGGCAUUCGUAUUUAACUGUCAGAGGUGAAAUUCUUGGAUUUGUUAAAGACGAACUACUGCGAAAGCAUUUGCCAAGGAUGUUUUCAUUG
This 331-nucleotide ribosomal RNA is filed under the name uncultured eukaryote. RNAcentral describes it as "partial 18S ribosomal RNA". It matches the Rfam family "Eukaryotic small subunit ribosomal RNA", at positions 592 to 975 of the family's 1831-position model. The record is from RNAcentral.